GAGUGUGAGUGUGUCUCUGUGUGUGUAGGGGUCGAGGUGGGGGGGGUCCGUGUUUGCGAUCUGAACCUUUGGUACCUACAAGGAGGGUGUCUCACCGAACGGUAGCUAAAACCUCACCAGAACCGCGCGGAAGUGAGAAGUCGCGGCCAAAGGCGCCCGCAGAAGCCUCCUCUCUGGGCCGGACCCCAGCCCGAGCGGCCGAAAGGAGCCCCCCGCCCGGAUCACAGCUGCUGCAGCUGCCGCUGAAAUUCGCUGUGGCCGCUGCCUCUUCCCGCUUUAAUCCCAGACCUCCAGUCAUUGGGCAGCUCCUCAGAGGCAAGAAGUCAACACCAUGGCAACCCGACAAGCCUAUCAAAUCACCGGCUGGCGUGACAGCAGCAACACUGCAGGCAGGAGUGGGCUGGGCGGAAGAGCAGAGUGGCCACUGCGCUCAGAAGUUUACAAGGAAAGGGGAAAUGUCUGAAAUGGAGAUUGCACAAUCCUGUCUUGAAGCAGAAGACUCAGCUAGAGCACAUCUGGAAACACCUGGCACUCCUCAAUAGAAUUCAAAUGCUAUUUUAAAAGAGUCCAUUUCUAAGAAGAUGUGGUUCGAACAUACAGAGCUACAUAAUAUGAGUAAAAUAGGACCUAACAGUAGUGUUCUCCAGCAUUGCUCUGCCUUUCCUUUUCUGGAUGUAACAACAUUACUAAGAAAGGAAGAAAAAGCAAAAAUCUGCUCUCGGGGAGAUUCCAGAAUGUUGGAAAGCCCCAAAUGGAAGUCUCUGCUUUGGUUACAGGACAUAAGGUUUAAUAAAUAAAAAGAUGCUCAUCUGGGAUGCUGCACCAAUUAUCAUGUACUAAAUAAGGUUACCUACUUCACUCUCCAGGUAGAAAUGUCUAUCAUAAGCAUGUGCCACAGAAGGUCUCUCAAGUAUCAUUAUUGGCUGUGUUGAAUUUUGUUUUUAGUUCUCUUUUAUAAGGUCUGUAGUCUUACUUUCAGUGAGGAAGUGUUUUCUCAGGUUCUCAAGAAAGUAACAAAAUGCCAGCAUUGUCAAGGUCACCAUUGCCACUGAAUUAUCUUACUGUCUGAUUAUUCCAUCUUCCUCUGCAUCAUAUUAGCCUGAUGACUACAUUCUAAUUAUUUAAAGCGUUAUGUAAAUCAAAGCAGUAAAUGUAAUUUCUAGUCUUACUAGAUAUCAUGUACAUUAGGUCGAAUAACUCUAGAAAUGUCGUCAUAAUCAUGUCAUGCCUAAUGAUGACCUACUCAGCCCCUGCCAACAUCAUUCAAUUACUCAUUUCAGUAUUGAUUUUUCUCAUGCCUCUCUUCGUGGCAUUUAAACAGCCCUCACAUCUCCCCUUUUACUGAGGUGUAAUGUUGUAUAAUGACAGAGAUGCUUUGCUUCCCAGAUUCAUAAUGUUACACUCUGUUUCAAAUCCUUUUGGAGACAAAUUGGGGAAUCAAUAUAUAAAUAAUGACACACUUAUUUUUAAUUAAAAUCACUGCUUUCACAGAAAUGGUAUAUUAAAAUUAUUUUUGCUAAAAAAAUUUUAAAUACCUAUGUACGAUAAAAAGACUGCCAAUCCUUGGGAUCAAGAAUAUAAUUUGCCCCAAAUAACUUUUCUGUAAAAGUAGAAUUCUUAAUGGAAAAUAGAUUAAUACAUAUAAUUUCAAGAUCUAACCUUAAAAAUGGAAAUAAUGUGUCCAUUUUUAAAAAUAAAUCAUAUUUACAUA
RNAcentral lists this long non-coding RNA (1711 nucleotides) under Homo sapiens (human). RNAcentral's name for it is "non-protein coding ZFHX4-AS1:24". Lineage: Eukaryota; Metazoa; Chordata; Mammalia; Primates; Hominidae. The record is from RNAcentral.